RNAcentral lists this ribosomal RNA (484 nucleotides) under uncultured bacterium. RNAcentral's name for it is "partial 16S ribosomal RNA". It matches the Rfam family "Bacterial small subunit ribosomal RNA", at positions 30 to 507 of the family's 1533-position model. The record is from RNAcentral.
AUUGAACGCUGGCGGCAGGACUAACACAUGCAAGUCGAGCGGAUGAAGGGAGCUUGCUCCUGGAUUCAGCGGCGGACGGGUGAGUAAUGCCUAGGAAUCUGCCUGGUAGUGGGGGAUAACGUCCGGAAACGGGCGCUAAUACCGCAUACGUCCUGAGGGAGAAAGUGGGGGAUCUUCGGACCUCACGCCAUCAGAUGAGCCUAGUUCGGAUUCGCUAGUUGGUGGGGUAAAGGCCUACCAAGGCGACGAUCCGUAACUGGUCUGAGAGGAUGAUCCGUCACACUGGAACUGGGACACGGUCCAGACUCCUACGGGAGGCAGCAGUGGGGAAUUUUGGCCAAUGGGCGAAAGCCUGCUCCAGCCAUGCCGCGUGUGUGAAGAAGGUCUUCCGAUUGUAAAGCACUUUAAGUUGGGAGGAAGGGCAGUAAGUUAAUACCUUGCUGUUUUGACGUUACCAACAGAAUAAGCACCGCCUAACUUCGUG